UGGGGAAUCUUGCGCAAUGGGCGAAAGCCUGACGCAGCGACGCCGCGUGCGGGAAGAAGGCCUUCGGGUUGUAAACCGCUUUCAGGAGGGACGAAGCCACUCAGGUUAAUAGCCGAGAGGGUGACGGUACCUCCAGAAGAAGCCCCGGCUAACUACGUGCCAGCAGCCGCGGUAAUACGUAGGGGGCAAGCGUUGUCCGGAUUUAUUGGGCGUAAAGAGCGUGUAGGCGGCCGUGUAGGUCUGACGUGAAAUCUGGAGGCUCAACCUCCAGCUGUCGUUGGAAACCGCGCGGCUAGAGUCCGGAAGAGGAGAGUGGAAUUCCUGGUGUAGCGGUGAAAUGCGCAGAUAUCAGGAAGAACACCUAUGGCGAAGGCAGCUCUCUGGGACGGUACUGACGCUGAGACGCGAAAGCGUGGGGAGCGAACAGGAUUAGAUACCCUGGUAGUCCACGCCGUAAACGAUGGGUGCUAGGUGUGGGCGGUGUCGACUCCGUCCGUGCCGAAGCUAACGCAUUAAGCACCCCGCCUGGGGAGUACGGCCGCAAGGCUAA
Molecule: ribosomal RNA, 550 nt
Filed under: uncultured Actinomycetes bacterium
Lineage: Bacteria; Bacillati; Actinomycetota; Actinomycetes
Description: bacterial SSU rRNA
Rfam family: Bacterial small subunit ribosomal RNA
Source: RNAcentral